Molecule: non-coding RNA, 136 nt
Organism: Triticum aestivum (bread wheat)
Lineage: Eukaryota; Viridiplantae; Streptophyta; Magnoliopsida; Poales; Poaceae
Source: Rfam
CACGUACUCCCUCCGUUCCAAAUUACUUGGCCCAUAUUUAUCUAGACACGAAUGUAUCUAGACACAAAACAAAGUAUAGAUACAUCUGUAUCUAGACAAAUUCAAGUCAGCUAAUUUGGAACGGAGGGAGUAGUAC